CUACGGGAGGCAGCAGUUAGGAAUAAUCUACAAUGCGCGAAAGCGUGAUAGUUUGAGUCAGAGUGCGUUUCAAUUUGGAAUGCUUUUGUGAAAUGUAAAAAGUUUCACGAAUAAGGACUGGGUAAGACUAGUGCCAGCCGCCGCGGUAAUACUAGCGGUCCAAGUCGCAACCAUUUUUAUUGGGUCUAAAACAUCCGUAGCUUGCUUUGUAAGUUCCUUGUGAAAUUCUAUCUCUUAAAGAUGGAGCGGGCAGGGAAUACUGUAAAGCUAGAGACUGGAAGACGUAAAGAGUACGUUUAAAGUAGCGGUAAAAUGUGUUAAUCUUAAACGGACUAACAAUAGCGAAGGCACUUUACGAGGACAGUUCUGACAGUAAGGGAUGAAGGCUAGGGGCGCAAAACGGAUUAGAUACCCGGGUAGUC
Molecule: ribosomal RNA, 422 nt
Filed under: uncultured archaeon
Lineage: Archaea
Description: partial 16S ribosomal RNA
Rfam family: Archaeal small subunit ribosomal RNA
Source: RNAcentral